CCUACGGGGGGCAGCAGUAGGGAAUAUUGCUCAAUGGGGGAAACCCUGAAGCAGCAACGCCGCGUGGAGGAUGAAGGUUUUCGUAUUGUAAACUCCUUUUGGUAGAGAAGAUAAUGACGGUAUCUAACGAAUAAGCACCGGCUAACUACGUGCCAGCAGCCGCGGUAAUACGGAGGGUGCAAGCGUUACUCGGAAUCACUGGGUGUAAAGAGCGCGUAGGCGGGAUGGCAAGUCUGAAGUGAAAUCCGGUGGCUUAACCAUAGAACUGCAGUUGAAACUGUUAUGCUAGAGUACAGGAGAGGUAGGUGGAAUUCUUGGUGUAGAGGUAAAAUGCGUAGAGAUUAAGAGGAAUACUCAUGGCGAAGGCGACCUGCUAGAACAUAACUGACGUUGAUGCGCGAAAGCGUGGGGAGCAAACAGGAUUAGAUACCCUUGUAGUC
This 440-nucleotide ribosomal RNA is filed under the name uncultured bacterium. RNAcentral describes it as "partial 16S ribosomal RNA". It matches the Rfam family "Bacterial small subunit ribosomal RNA", at positions 338 to 795 of the family's 1533-position model. The record is from RNAcentral.